UCAAUGGCUGUGCUCACUCUAAUCUCAUUGGUCCUUGUUCUCAGUGUCCCCUCACUAACUGGUUUCUUCGGACCCUCCAUCCAACUCAUCUCUCAAUACUCAGUGGUCUCACCUGGAGAAACUGUUCGAAUCAGUUGCUCUUGCAGGGCAAAACAAUCCAGCUAUCACAACAAUGAAAACUCCGUAAAGUUAUACAGAGAUUAUUCUGUCAUGCUGAUGGAGAAGCGUUGUUAUUACUGGAUAUUAAGCGUGACAUUUCCUCUGUCUAUUGUGGAUUCCUCUCACAAGGGAAAUUACACAUGUCGUCAAUACUACUCCUUACACAGCCAGCCC
Molecule: long non-coding RNA, 333 nt
Organism: Clupea harengus (Atlantic herring)
Lineage: Eukaryota; Metazoa; Chordata; Actinopteri; Clupeiformes; Clupeidae
Source: Ensembl